RNAcentral lists this ribosomal RNA (497 nucleotides) under uncultured bacterium. Its description in RNAcentral is "partial 16S ribosomal RNA". It matches the Rfam family "Bacterial small subunit ribosomal RNA", at positions 28 to 507 of the family's 1533-position model. The record is from RNAcentral.
GAUGAACGCUGGCGGCGUGCCUAAUACAUGCAAGUCGAGCGAACGGACGAGAAGCUUGCUUUUCUGAUGUUAGCGGCGGACGGGUGAGUAACACGUGGAUAACCUACCUAUAAGACUGGGAUAACUUCGGGAAACCGGAGCUAAUACCGGAUAAUAUUUUGAACCGCAUGGUUCAAAAGUGAAAGACGGUCUUGCUGUCACUUAUAGAUGGAUCCGCGCUGCAUUAGCUAGUUGGUAAGGUAACGGCUUACCAAGGCAACGAUGCAUAGCCGACCUGAGAGGGUGAUCGGCCACACUGGAACUGAGACACGGUCCAGACUCCUACGGGAGGCAGCAGUAGGGAAUCUUCCGCAAUGGGCGAAAGCCUGACGGAGCAACGCCGCGUGAGUGAUGAAGGUCUUCGGAUCGUAAAACUCUGUUAUUAGGGAAGAACAUAUGUGUAAGUAACUGUGCACAUCUUGACGUUACCUAAUCAGAAAGCCACGGCUAACUACAUG